Molecule: ribosomal RNA, 160 nt
Filed under: Myrcianthes pseudomato
Lineage: Eukaryota; Viridiplantae; Streptophyta; Magnoliopsida; Myrtales; Myrtaceae
Description: 5.8S ribosomal RNA
Rfam family: 5.8S ribosomal RNA
About the family: 5.8S ribosomal RNA (5.8S rRNA) is a component of the large subunit of the eukaryotic ribosome. It is transcribed by RNA polymerase I as part of the 45S precursor that also contains 18S and 28S rRNA. Functionally, it is thought that 5.8S rRNA may be involved in ribosome translocation.
Source: RNAcentral
UAACGACUCUCGGCAACGGAUAUCUCGGCUCUCGCAUCGAUGAAGAACGCAGCGAACUGCGAUACUUGGUGUGAAUUGCAGAAUCCCGUGAACCAUCGAGUCUUUGAACGCAAGUUGCGCCCGAAGCCAUUUGGACGAGGGCACGUUUGCCUGGGUGUCA